This 440-nucleotide ribosomal RNA is filed under the name uncultured bacterium. RNAcentral describes it as "partial 16S ribosomal RNA". It matches the Rfam family "Bacterial small subunit ribosomal RNA", at positions 338 to 795 of the family's 1533-position model. The record is from RNAcentral.
CCUACGGGAGGCAGCAGUGGGGGAUAUUGCACAAUGGGGGAAACCCUGAUGCAGCGACGCCGCGUGGGUGAAGAAGCGCCUCGGCGCGUAAAGUCCUGUCAGCAGGGAAGAAAAUGACGGUACCUGAAGAAGAAGCCCCGGCUAACUACGUCCCAGCAGCCGCGGUAAUACGUAGGGGGCAAGCGUUAUCCGGAUUUACUGGGUGUAAAGGGGGCGCAGACGGCGAUGCAAGCCAGGAGUGAAAGCCCGGGGCCCAACCCCGGGACUGCUCUUGAAACUGCGUGGCGAGAGUGCAGGAGGGGCAGGCGGAAUUCCUGGUGUAGCGGUGAAAUGCGUAGAUAUCAGGAGGAACACCAGUGGCGAAGGCGGCCUGCUGGACUGCAACUGACGUUGAGGCCCGAAAGCGUGGGGAGCAAACAGGAUUAGAUACCCCUGUAGUC